CAAAGAACUUUGAAGAGAGAGUUCAAGAGUACGUGAAACCGCUCGGAGGCAAACGGGUGGGCCCUCGAAGGUCGAACGGGGGGAUUCAACCCGUCCGCAGUCACGGUCGCGCGUCACGGAUGGCGGGGCGUUGGGCGGAUCCGGCAAUCGGACCGGUCCGUGGCGUAAAGCAUAUCUUUGCAGCGACCGCGGGCGGGCGCACUUCCCCCUCAGUAGGACGCCGCGACCGGUCGGGUCCGCGGCUUUGCGGCGAGACGACGGCAGGUAUCCGUCGCCGGUCUCUUUCUCUCGUUCCGCUCGUGGGGGAAAAGCCGGUCGGAAUUACAGCCCGUCUCCGCUUCGGCUGCUGCCCGACCGAGGAACUGCGUGCCCGCGCCUUCGGCCGUGAGACGCGCGGAACGUCCUGGCAGGCUUCGCCGUCGGGAUCCGAACGCCCCUGGUGGCGGUCGGUAUUCCCGCAUCGGCGUGCUGUUGGCUGGGCGUUGCUGCUCUCGUGGUGGCGCUCGUGGUCGGCGGCGAGUAGGUCGGUCACCCACCCGACCCGUCUUGAAACACGGACCAAGGAGUCUAACAUGUGCGCGAGUCGCAGGGAGCUCGCAAAAAACCUGAAGGCGCAAUGAAAGUGAAAGUCGGUAAGC
RNAcentral lists this ribosomal RNA (638 nucleotides) under Scolopendra pinguis. RNAcentral describes it as "eukaryotic LSU rRNA". It matches the Rfam family "Eukaryotic large subunit ribosomal RNA", at positions 367 to 743 of the family's 3401-position model. Lineage: Eukaryota; Metazoa; Arthropoda; Chilopoda; Scolopendromorpha; Scolopendridae. The record is from RNAcentral.